CCUACGGGGGGCAGCAGUGAGGAAUAUUGGUCAAUGGGCGCGAGUCUGAACCAGCCAAGUAGCGUGAAGGAUGACUGCCCUACGGGUUGUAAACUUCUUUUAUAAAGGAAUAAAGUGAGGUACGUGUGCCUUUUUGUAUGUACUUUACGAAUAAGGAUCGGCUAACUCCGUGCCAGCCGCCGCGGUAAUACGGAGGAUUCGAGCGUUAUCCGGAUUUAUUGGGUUUAAAGGGAGCGUAGAUGGUUUGUUAAGUCAGUGGUGAAAGUUUGCGGCUCAACCGUCAAAAUGCAAUUGAUACUGGCAGCCUUGAGGACAGUUGAGGUAGGCGGAAUUCGUGGUGUAGCGGUGAAAUGCAUAGAUAUCACGCAGAACUCCGAUUGCGAAGGCAGCCUACUAAACUGCCACUGACAUUGAUGCUCGAAAGUGUGGGUAUCAAACAGGAUUAGAUACCCUAGUAGUC
RNAcentral lists this ribosomal RNA (460 nucleotides) under uncultured bacterium. RNAcentral describes it as "partial 16S ribosomal RNA". It matches the Rfam family "Bacterial small subunit ribosomal RNA", at positions 338 to 795 of the family's 1533-position model. The record is from RNAcentral.